This 510-nucleotide ribosomal RNA is filed under the name uncultured Comamonadaceae bacterium. Its description in RNAcentral is "bacterial SSU rRNA". It matches the Rfam family "Bacterial small subunit ribosomal RNA", at positions 89 to 595 of the family's 1533-position model. The record is from RNAcentral. Lineage: Bacteria; Pseudomonadati; Pseudomonadota; Betaproteobacteria; Burkholderiales; Comamonadaceae.
UUGAGAGUGGCGAACGGGUGAGUAAUAUAUCGGAACGUGCCCAGUCGUGGGGGAUAACGUAGUGAAAAUUACGCUAAUACCGCAUACGAUCUAAGGAUGAAAGCGGGGGAUCGCAAGACCUCGCGCGACUGGAGCGGCCGAUAUCAGAUUAGGUAGUUGGUAGGGUAAAGGCCUACCAAGCCAACGAUCUGUAGCUGGUCUGAGAGGACGACCAGCCACACUGGAACUGAGACACGGUCCAGACUCCUACGGGAGGCAGCAGUGGGGAAUUUUGGACAAUGGGCGAAAGCCUGAUCCAGCCAUUCCGCGUGCAGGAUGAAGGCCCUCGGGUUGUAAACUGCUUUUGUACAGAACGAAAAGGUUUCUAUUAAUACUAGGAGCUCAUGACGGUACUGUAAGAAUAAGCACCGGCUAACUACGUGCCAGCAGCCGCGGUAAUACGUAGGGUGCAAGCGUUAAUCGGAAUUACUGGGCGUAAAGCGUGCGCAGGCGGUUAUAUAAGUCAGAUGU